RNAcentral lists this ribosomal RNA (438 nucleotides) under uncultured bacterium. RNAcentral describes it as "bacterial SSU rRNA". It matches the Rfam family "Bacterial small subunit ribosomal RNA", at positions 355 to 786 of the family's 1533-position model. The record is from RNAcentral.
UAGGGAAUUUUCGUCAAUGGGCGCAAGCCUGAACGAGCAAUGCCGCGUGAGUGAGGAAGGCCUUCGGGGUCGUAAAAGCCUCUGUUGGCAGAGGGAAAGGAACGGAGAGAAUGAUUCCGUUUUGAUGGUACCUCGCCAGAAAGUCACGGCUAACUACGUGCCAGCAGCCGCGGUAAUACGUAGGUGGCAAGCGUUAUCCGGAAUGAUUGGGCGUAAAGGGUGCGCAGGCGGCAUAUCAAGUCUGAAGUGAAAGGUACGGGCUCAACCUGUACAGGCUUUGGAAACUGGUAUGCUCGAGGACAGGAGAGGGCGGUGGAACUCCACGUGUAGCGGUAAAAUGCGUAGAGAUGUGGAAGAACACCAUUGGCGAAGGCGGCCGCCUGGCCUGUAACUGACGCUCAGGCACGAAAGCGUGGGGAGCAAAUAGGAUUAGAUACC